UACGCAUUUCACCGCUACACAGGAAAUUCCACCACCCUCUACCGUACUCUAGCUCAGUAGUUUUGGAUGCAGUUCCCAGGUUGAGCCCGGGGAUUUCACAUCCAACUUGCUGAACCACCUACGCGCGCUUUACGCCCAGUAAUUCCGAUUAACGCUUGCACCCUUCGUAUUACCGCGGCUGCUGGCACGAAGUUAGCCGGUGCUUAUUCUGUUGGUAACGUCAAAACAGCAAGGUAUUAACUUACUGCCCUUCCUCCCAACUUAAAGUGCUUUACAAUCCGAAGACCUUCUUCACACACGCGGCAUGGCUGGAUCAGGCUUUCGCCCAUUGUCCAAUAUUCCCCACUGCUGCCUCCCGUAGGAGUCUGGACCGUGUCUCAGUUCCAGUGUGACUGAUCAUCCUCUCAGACCAGUUACGGAUCGUCGCCUUGGUAGGCCUUUA
This 442-nucleotide ribosomal RNA is filed under the name Pseudomonas aeruginosa. Its description in RNAcentral is "partial 16S ribosomal RNA". The record is from RNAcentral. Lineage: Bacteria; Pseudomonadati; Pseudomonadota; Gammaproteobacteria; Pseudomonadales; Pseudomonadaceae.